UCUGGAGUGACAGGAAGGGUAGUUGGAAGAUUAAAACUCUCAGACCCAGCUCAGUCUGUCACCCCUGCAACCAAACCAAUACACACAAACAAGCCCAACCUCAGUGUGCCUUCUUCUCUCUCUUCUUCCCUCUCCCCUCUCCUCCCCUCCUCUCUCCUCACUUCUCCUCUCCUCCCUUCUCCCCAGUUCCCAGCUUUCCUAUCAAAUGACUCCAUCUGUCCCAAGACCAGUUUCCUUUUCUUUGCUCUGUUUUCUCUGAGGAUCCCAUGCUGAGUGGAGACAGAGCCAGGAAUACUAACAGUUGGUGACCAUCCAGGGACACCAGCCACUGUUGUUACCUUCAGUCUCACCAGCAAAAGCAAUUAAAACAAUAUGCGUACAAUAAAAUAUAAAAGCAUAUUUCACUUCUGGGAAAGGGAAAGUGGAUUCAGGCAUUAAAAGGAGAGCUUGGGUUGAAGCCGCCGGCAGCCGCAGGCUGUACUCCAAGAAAGAAUGGAGCUAGAGAGCCAGGCACCAGCUCCCGUCUCUGUGGCAUGGAAAGUUGUCCUAAGAAAGGCUGGAAUGACCUGUGGCCUCUGGAGGAAAAUAAGGAAACUGGAGUCCCGGGAGCUCCUUUCUCUCUCUGAUUUCGCCCAUCACUGUCCAUGUGGAAGAAGCACGAAGAGAAAUUUGAGUUGCGCUGGGUCUCUCUGCCAACUGCAUGAACCCUGAAAGUCCGUCCUCCCAUUUAUAAGUUGUUCCCAGAAUCUAAUCCCUCCCAUCUUCCUUCAU
Macaca mulatta (Rhesus monkey) is the source of this 771-nucleotide non-coding RNA. The record is from RefSeq and is a predicted model, not a curated record. NCBI's taxonomy places the organism in Eukaryota, Metazoa, Chordata, Mammalia, Primates, Cercopithecidae.